AGCUCCAAUAGCGUAUAUUAAAGUUGUUGCAGUUAAAAAGCUCGUAGUUGAACCUUAGGCCCGGCCGGCUGGUCCGUCUUCACGGCGAGCACUGCGUCGUCGCGGGUCUUUCCUUCUGGCGAGCCGGGAUGCCAUUCACUUGGUGUCCGCGGGAACCAGGACCUUUACCUUGAAAAAAUUAGAGUGCUCAAAGCGGGCUCGUAUGCUCGAAUACAUUAGCAUGGAAUAAUGAAAUAGGACGUGCGGUUCUAUUU
This 254-nucleotide ribosomal RNA is filed under the name uncultured Ascomycota. RNAcentral's name for it is "partial small subunit ribosomal RNA". It matches the Rfam family "Eukaryotic small subunit ribosomal RNA", at positions 587 to 842 of the family's 1831-position model. Lineage: Eukaryota; Fungi; Ascomycota. The record is from RNAcentral.